Molecule: ribosomal RNA, 242 nt
Filed under: uncultured bacterium
Lineage: Bacteria
Description: partial 16S ribosomal RNA
Rfam family: Bacterial small subunit ribosomal RNA
Source: RNAcentral
UGGCGACCGGCGCACGGUGCGUAACGCGUAUGCAACCUACCUUUAACAGGGGAUAACACUGAGAAAUUGGUACUAAUACCCCAUAAUAUCAUAGAAGGCAUCUUUUAUGGUUGAAAAUUCCGAUGGUUAGAGAUGGGCAUGCGUUGUAUUAGCUAGUUGGUGGGGUAACGGCUCACCAAGGCGACGAUGGAUAGGGGUUCUGAGAGGAAGGUCCCCCACAUUGGAACUGAGACACGGUCCAA